CGGCGCACGGGUGAGUAACGCGUAUCCAACCUUCCGUACACUCAGGGAUAGCCUUUCGAAAGAAAGAUUAAUACCUGAUGGUAUGAUGAGAUUGCAUGAUAGCAUCAUUAAAGAUUUAUCGGUGUACGAUGGGGAUGCGUUCCAUUAGGUAGUAGGCGGGGUAACGGCCCACCUAGCCAACGAUGGAUAGGGGUUCUGAGAGGAAGGUCCCCCACAUUGGAACUGAGACACGGUCCAAACUCCUACGGGAGGCAGCAGUGAGGAAUAUUGGUCAAUGGACGAGAGUCUGAACCAGCCAAGUAGCGUGAAGGAUGAAGGUCCUACGGAUUGUAAACUUCUUUUAUAAGGGAAUAAACCCUCCCACGUGUGGGAGCUUGUAUGUACCUUAUGAAUAAGCAUCGGCUAACUCCGUGCCAGCAGCCGCGGUAAUACGGUGGAUGCGAGCGUUAUCCGGAUUUAUUGGGUUUAAAGGGAGCGCAGACGGGUCGUUAAGUCAGCUGUGAAAGUUUGGGGCUCAACCUUAAAAUUGCAGUUGAUACUGGCGUCCUUGAGUGCGGUUGAGGUGUGCGGAAUUCGUGGUGUAGCGGUGAAAUGCUUAGAUAUCACGAAGAACUCCGAUUGCGA
RNAcentral lists this ribosomal RNA (624 nucleotides) under uncultured bacterium. Its description in RNAcentral is "bacterial SSU rRNA". It matches the Rfam family "Bacterial small subunit ribosomal RNA", at positions 96 to 718 of the family's 1533-position model. The record is from RNAcentral.